RNAcentral lists this long non-coding RNA (570 nucleotides) under Helianthus annuus (common sunflower). Lineage: Eukaryota; Viridiplantae; Streptophyta; Magnoliopsida; Asterales; Asteraceae. The record is from RNAcentral.
UUUAAGGAAGUCGCUCGUGUGUCCAAUGCGUAUGAUACGCUUUCUCAUCGCAUUUUCAGCUGAUUGGAUUUACAACGAUCCACGUUUGGAGAUGGGUUAUGUCUCGACCCAACAGCUGAUUUGGUGCUCGAUCUGGUAACCCUGCUUCGCUGAGGAAAUUCUCAAAUGGUGGCGAACGAAUAUGGAGAUCAGAGGCUGUUCACAUGUGAUCGUAAUCCGGAUUUUGUUGAUUUCUGUGAUGUUAACCAGCCAGGCCAUCCAGCUAUCAUCAAGAUGAUAGAAGGUUAUCUAUUGCAAAAAAAGGUUGAUAUAUGUGUAUUUGCUUUUGAUGUCAUGCUUGCUAAUGGGGAACAGUAAUCAUCUUUGAUCCUGCUCUUAGAUAUUUUAUGAAUUUUUAAUUUUAAUUCACUGAACUGUAAAAAUGUAAAAAUGAUAGUGGUUAAACUUUUCACAUGCACUUUUAUGGCAGGCUGUUGGGUUUACUUUUGCGUCAAAGAAGAAAAUGUGAGAUCACUGAUUUGUAUAUGUUUUUAUAGUUCAUCUAACUAGGCCUAAUGCAUUAGUGUUACU